RNAcentral lists this long non-coding RNA (1050 nucleotides) under Calidris pugnax (ruff). RNAcentral describes it as "lncRNA (ENSCPUG00000018574.1)". The record is from RNAcentral. Lineage: Eukaryota; Metazoa; Chordata; Aves; Charadriiformes; Scolopacidae.
ACACGGGACGUGGGGACAUGGGGACAUGGGGACAUGGAACACGGGGCGUGGGGACACAGGGGACACGGUGUGGGGACAUGGGGACAUGGGGACAUGGGACACGCGGUGUGGGGGCAUGGGACAUGUGACGUGGGGACAUGGGGACAUGGGACACAAGGCGUGGGGACACGGUGUGGGGACAUGGGACACGGGACACGGGGCGUGGGGACACGGUGUGGGGACAUGGGACACGGGACACGGGGCGUGGGGACACGGGGGACACGGUGUGGGGACAUGGGACACGGGACACAUGGAAUGGGGACACGGGACACACGGUGUGGGGAUGUGGGACACAGGACGUGGGGACAUGGGACACAAGGUGUGGGGACACGGGGGACAUGGUGUGGGGACAUGGGACACACAGUGUGGGGACGUGGGACAUGUGAUGUGGGGACAUGGGGACAUGGGACACGUGGUGUGGGGACAUGGGGACAUGGGACACGUGGUAUGGGGGCAUGGGACACACGGUGUGGGGACAUGGGACAUGGGACACGUGGCAUGGGGACACAGGGACAUGGGACAGGCAACACGCGGUGUGGGGACACGGGACGUGGUGGGGACAUGGGGACACAAGGACAUGGAGACACAGGGACACGUGGUGUGGGGACAUGGAAAACAUGGCGUGGGGACAUGGGACACGUGGUGUGAGGACAUGGGACACACGGUGUGGGGACACGGGACACGGGGAGUGGGGACAUGGGACAUGAGACAUGGGACACGUGGUGUGGGGACAUGUGACACAGGACAUGGGAGAGGCAACAUGCGGUGUGGGGACACGGGAUGUGGUGUGGGGAGGUGGGGACAUGGGGACACGUGGUGUGGGGACACAAGGACACGGGGGGACACAGGGUGACACGGGGUGACACACACGGGGGGACACAGGGUGACCCACCUCCGCGCUGCCCUCCUCCCCACCUGGCCAGGGACCCCACGGGAGACACACGGGAUGUCACCCACCCCCCAUGAUGUCACACCCCCAAUGUCACCCACCCCUCCAUGAUGUCACCCCCC